UUUUCUCCUCUGGACCCAGAAGGCUAAAAUGUGUAUUUAUUGUAUUUAUAGUAUGCUGCAAUGACUGGCAAUAGUGAGCUUAUUUAGAUAGUGGGAAUGGUUUUUCUGUGAUAACAGAGGUGAAAAGCCUCAGAUAAAGCUGAAAGCCUUGUUGGUAAUUGGGCUGGAAUUGCUCUAAUUUGUUAGUCUGUUUUAAAAGUUUAAAAUCCAAAAUGCAAUAAAUAGCUGAGUGAAAAUGAGCACAGAUUAAACCCCGCAUUCACUCUGUAAUAACAAAUACUGUGGAGGAUAUUUCUGAACUUGAAGCUUAGGCACUAUGAUUACAUUUAAACUAUCUGAUUUUUUUUUUUAUAUGUGCAGUAAAGUGCUCAAGCACAUCAGCUCUAAAUGGAUGUGUAAUCCUGUGACCGUUCCCUGUUCAGCAAAGUUCUUCAGCACAUACUUCAGUCACAGAAAAAUCCAUGGGUCUGAAGUAAACGUUGAGAGUUCAAGCGAUGAUAGCGUUAAUCUAAACAAACCUAUCCCCCUGAACUGCUCCUGGCAAGUGAGUCAUAGCUGGUGUGGGCAGAGAUCUGCAGGUUAUCUUCAGGACAGACCCUGUGUCCCUGGGAUGGAGAAGAGGCAGCCGUGCCCUCUGCUGAGAACUCUGCAUUUUCUAGCUGUGAGGAUUUUCCUAGUAA
Non-coding RNA from Meleagris gallopavo (turkey), 680 nucleotides. The record is from RefSeq and is a predicted model, not a curated record. Lineage: Eukaryota; Metazoa; Chordata; Aves; Galliformes; Phasianidae.